Molecule: long non-coding RNA, 1147 nt
Organism: Carlito syrichta (Philippine tarsier)
Lineage: Eukaryota; Metazoa; Chordata; Mammalia; Primates; Tarsiidae
Exons: 2
Source: RefSeq, a predicted model, not a curated record
CACCGCUGACAUCGGUUUCGAACCGUGUUCCGAUUUCUGUCCCUGUCGUUUCGUUUGUCAGUUUCAGAACUCCGUAUGUCGUCCCCUUGAACUCACCCUCAUGCCUCUGAGACUUGCUAAUGUUAUGUAGUUCAUUUUAAAGUUUCGGAUGAGCCCUUCAUUGUGCCGAUACGGCACAAUGUGUUUCGUCAUUGUUCUGUUGAUGCAUAUUGGGCAUAUUUCCAGAUUUUGCAUAUCUUGAAUAAAGCUAGCAUGUUUUCAUUUCUCCUGGGUAAAUACCGAGAAGAAAAGCUGCUGCGUAAUUGGGAAAAAUCCCAAGACCCAGCACCUGGGAAGGCAGGGGGUGAGAGAGGAGAAGAGUAUUCAUCUUUGUUUUUCAAAGCUCCUUCUGGAAGUUUUCUUUCUCCCAAAGAACAAAAAAGAACACAGCAGCUUGCCUUUCAAAGCCACUUUGCUCUUGGAAUUUCAACUGGCUGCUGGGCCUAUGAUCACUCCUGACAGGAACAACAGCUCAGGGUGCUGGACCCAUGCUCCAGCACUUGUCACACAGCACACCUCCAGAUGCCAUUCAGACUCUUGAGAUGGAUAAAGUGAUGCUGCGGACAAACAAACCUACCUGAAAUUGACUGCCUUCAGGCAGUGCCUCUGAAGCCAAGAACUUAACUGAAUUAUUUGAACGGGACUGGCAACCUGAGAAUGCAGGCCUCAUUUCUGGGAGGCCACAGUAGGAGCCCUAUUAAUCUGCUGUUAUGAUAUGGACCAAAGCUGGCCUCUGUAUAUUUGCUUAACUUGACCCCCAAGUUCUUUACUUCUUCACAGCAGGCCAGGACCUUUUGCCCAAAGCCCACCAGUGCCAAACCCAAAUUCUCACAUAUCCAAUUGCUUUCAAUAGUUCAAAUAUUUUUUUUGGCCAUGUAGAGUCUACCUACUUUGCAUACCCCAUGAAACUCCCCACUCUGCCGCUAAGCAACAUCCCUUAGACAUCACCUCAAAACGUAAGUUGCCUUUAUUUCCCCUUCUCUCCUGGUAGGUUCCUUAUCCUUUUUGCCUUCUGGGUAGUGGCCUCAUGCUGCUGCUAGUGAGGGAACUGCCCUCUCAUGCAACCCUGUCCAGAUGCUACCCAAUAAACUUGUUAUGUAUUACUGUC